RNAcentral lists this ribosomal RNA (539 nucleotides) under uncultured bacterium. RNAcentral describes it as "bacterial SSU rRNA". It matches the Rfam family "Bacterial small subunit ribosomal RNA", at positions 355 to 895 of the family's 1533-position model. The record is from RNAcentral.
UGAGGAAUAUUGGUCAAUGGGCGAGAGCCUGAACCAGCCAAGUAGCGUGCAGGAUGACGGCCCUAUGGGUUGUAAACUGCUUUUGUAUGGGGAUAAAGUCAAUCACGUGUGAUUGUUUGCAGGUACCAUACGAAUAAGGACCGGCUAAUUCCGUGCCAGCAGCCGCGGUAAUACGGAAGGUCCGGGCGUUAUCCGGAUUUAUUGGGUUUAAAGGGAGCGUAGGCUGGAGAUUAAGUGUGUUGUGAAAUGUAGACGCUCAACGUCUGACUUGCAGCGCAUACUGGUUUCCUUGAGUACGCACAACGUUGGCGGAAUUCGUCGUGUAGCGGUGAAAUGCUUAGAUAUGACGAAGAACUCCGAUUGCGAAGGCAGCUGACGGGAGCGCAACUGACGCUUAAGCUCGAAGGUGCGGGUAUCGAACAGGAUUAGAUACCCUGGUAGUCCGCACAGUAAACGAUGGAUGCCCGCUGUUGGUACCUGGUAUCAGCGGCUAAGCGAAAGCAUUAAGCAUCCCACCUGGGGAGUACGCCGGCAACGGU